CUUCCAUAUAAUUUCUUGCAUUCAAAUACACUCACUAGGCAUUUGCUUAGAGAAAAUGUAUUAUGUGAGGAUGAAGAGUUUUUAAUCUGCAGAGGGUCCUAUGCUAUUGAAGCAGCUACUGUCAGUUGCUGAGUAACAGAGAAAAGAAAUCAGCUCACUCUUCACUGCAAGAUCCUGCAAGGGCUAGUCAUGCUCCAGGAGCAUCUCUCUGGAAGGCAGUGAAGCAUGGCCACGGGUGUGGAGUGUAUGCUGUUCCUGGGUUUGGCAUGUUGUGUUCUGAAUUGGUUAUUCCACUAGAGGCUUAGACUGAAAUCAAAACUCUCCACAUUUGUCCUGGUUCAGACUGGAAUAGAGGGGGGUAUGUUCCUUAUUUCUCAAAAGAAAUGCAUCCCGACAGGAAAGUUGCCAAGGAAUAUCAAAGAUGUAGAUGAGCCUUUGACUGAAUAAACACUGGAUAAGUUAGAUAUUUUUGGUUAGGAUGGAAAAACUGAGAAGUCAUUUGAUAGAUUAACAACAGCAAGAAGAAUAAAGAUGGAUUACUUGUUCCUAUACCAGAUAAAACUGUCAGAAGGCAGAGUCAAAACAAACAGGAGAUAUCUCACAAGCAUCAU
This is a long non-coding RNA of Gallus gallus (chicken), 611 nucleotides long. The record is from Ensembl. NCBI's taxonomy places the organism in Eukaryota, Metazoa, Chordata, Aves, Galliformes, Phasianidae.